GGUAGUGUGGCCAAGUGAUCUAAGGUGUUGGCUCUGUACUCUGGGAGCCAGGGUUCAAAUCCCUGCUCAACCA
This is a non-coding RNA of Phrynosoma platyrhinos (Desert horned lizard), 73 nucleotides long. NCBI's taxonomy places the organism in Eukaryota, Metazoa, Chordata, Lepidosauria, Squamata, Phrynosomatidae. The record is from the annotation of a GenBank genome assembly.